Molecule: ribosomal RNA, 535 nt
Filed under: Escherichia coli
Lineage: Bacteria; Pseudomonadati; Pseudomonadota; Gammaproteobacteria; Enterobacterales; Enterobacteriaceae
Description: partial 23S ribosomal RNA
Rfam family: Bacterial large subunit ribosomal RNA
Source: RNAcentral
CCUUGAAAUACCACCCUUUAAUGUUUGAUGUUCUAACGUUGACCCGUGAUCCGGGUUGCGGACAGUGUCUGGUGGGUAGUUUGACUGGGGCGGUCUCCUCCUAAAGAGUAACGGAGGAGCACGAAGGUUGGCUAAUCCUGGUCGGACAUCAGGAGGUUAGUGCAAUGGCAUAAGCCAGCUUGACUGCGAGCGUGACGGCGCGAGCAGGUGCGAAAGCAGGUCAUAGUGAUCCGGUGGUUCUGAAUGGAAGGGCCAUCGCUCAACGGAUAAAAGGUACUCCGGGGAUAACAGGCUGAUACCGCCCAAGAGUUCAUAUCGACGGCGGUGUUUGGCACCUCGAUGUCGGCUCAUCACAUCCUGGGGCUGAAGUAGGUCCCAAGGGUAUGGCUGUUCGCCAUUUAAAGUGGUACGCGAGCUGGGUUUAGAACGUCGUGAGACAGUUCGGUCCCUAUCUGCCGUGGGCGCUGGAGAACUGAGGGGGGCUGCUCCUAGUACGAGAGGACCGGAGUGGACGCAUCACUGGUGUUCGGGUUGU